RNAcentral lists this non-coding RNA (223 nucleotides) under Pongo abelii (Sumatran orangutan). Lineage: Eukaryota; Metazoa; Chordata; Mammalia; Primates; Hominidae. The record is from RNAcentral.
AUAAAAGCCAACCACCUUCAAUCUGAUAAUUCUGGGCAGAAAACUGAAUAUAGUUUGGACCAGAUCUUCGAGAAAAAUUCAUAUACACCAAAUUAAGUAGUUCUGUUAAAAGGCUGCUAUAAAAAUGCACAUCAUCAUGAGAUAUACAGAACUUUAGAAUCCAGCUAAGAGUAGAGAAAUACUGAAUUUCUUAAUUUAUCUGGAGGGGGCUGUAAAUCCAAAG